RNAcentral lists this long non-coding RNA (465 nucleotides) under Gossypium barbadense (sea-island cotton). RNAcentral describes it as "long non-coding RNA (GBAR_LNC004054)". The record is from RNAcentral. Lineage: Eukaryota; Viridiplantae; Streptophyta; Magnoliopsida; Malvales; Malvaceae.
GUAAAAGAAGCUUCCACUCUUCCCCGGAGAAGAAAACUCUCUAAGCGCAUCAUUGCCACAAAUAGCUAGCAUGUAAUCAGCAGGAUCGAUUUGGAAUAGCUCCCUCAAAUGUCUGAAACUCGCAAAAGGGAAUGCCGUUACCAACAUAGUAAAUGCCGGUGAAACACGAAUGAUGGCAAAAUGCUAUUUAUAUCAGAAUCAGUGGAAACUAGUAUGCAAUCAAGCAAGCUCAUUACUAUACUAUUUUUAUUCUUCAGUUUGCAGAUAAAUCAACUAAAAAGGUUUGCAGAUAAAUCAACUAAAAAGCAGGAGGAACAUACCGAAACACCACCGGGCAAUAAUCCUUCCAUCGGAACUCGAUGGACUGAUGAGGCGGUGUAAGCUUUGAUCCUUCAGACGGAAACUUCGUCCAGAACUUCUCUUUCGGAUCAAAAUCUGAUGGCUUUAAAUCCUGCAACAUCGAAG